CUGGAAAUGUUGCUUCCCAGUGCGGAGGGAUUAAACGAUAUGGUUUGAAAAUUCCACGUCACUACCUUCCUUCUCCCUCGCACAGAUCAGUCCGCAUGUUCUUGGUACCCGUGUUUCUUUGUGGAAUAUGUUGAGCAAACCUGGGGAAGCUUCAGCUCAGGAAAAUAUUGUUGUCAUUGCUGUGAUUCUUCACGUGAUACACUGAUUUGCAGGAGAGAUGAGUCCUCCGUCACAGAUGGUUGGUCAGUGAAGAUGGUCGCCUGCAGGUUCAAGCUCAUUGCAUCUCCAACCCACAUCCACUGCCACUGUACUUAAGGGAAGGUAAAGACUUUCUUCUGCACCUACAUUUGGAUCACCUCGAUCCAUGACAGUCAUUCAGGCAGUAAUGCCUGGACUGGAAACAAGCCAUCCUUAAAAUAAUACAACAUACCAGCUUCUGUGUUUGAAUGCAAAACAAAUGUGUUGUUUAAACUAGAGACUGCACUUGUGACUGAACAAUAAAUACAUUUAUUUCGAUUAUAUAAGUAAUGUAAGUACAAAACAGAUGUGUAAAGCCUGAAUGUAGUUUCAGAAUAAUUAAAUCUGAGACUUUGUUUCAUUUACACAUUCUAACAAUGAUGGUAAUAUAAUUGUUUGUUGUUCAGCAGAACAGUGUCCAGUAUGUUGGUUCAUAUACUUCAUUACAUUUGAAAAUAAAAUUUGGGCUGAUUUUAACACCAUUACAAGAAGUGUAGUUAAUUAUUCUUUUUGAAUCAUAUUUGCAUUCAGUGUUAUAUUAAUAUAAAACAUAAUGUGAUUGUAAAAAAAGAAUAAAGUAAGUUAGCACAAAUAGUUUUUUAAUUUAGUAGAACUUGAAAUGUUUGACAGAAAGUAAACAUUUAGUACUGCACAGUCAGAAACAUCAAGUUAUUCUUAGUACUGCAUACUUGCAAUGAAUAAGUUGUCCUAACAUAGUUUUACUAAGUAAGCUUUACUCCAUUUUUUGAGUUCUGGGAACUAAUUGGAUUUUGCAGUGAGACUGUUUUUAUUUGAUAGUGUUUUAUUUUGGGGAGUGCAGACUUGCAGCUUUAACUGUUCAGGACCUGCAGAUAUUUAGAGGAUUAUGUAUAACAGGACAAAGAAAAUCCAUAAAAAUACUUUAUUUGUUAGAUGUAUGUUGUAGAUUUGUUAUUGUUAUUUAUGGUUCUCUGAAAUACUGGCAACAUUUCAAACUUGUACUGAUGUAC
This is a long non-coding RNA of Oreochromis niloticus (Nile tilapia), 1226 nucleotides long. Lineage: Eukaryota; Metazoa; Chordata; Actinopteri; Cichliformes; Cichlidae. The record is from Ensembl.